GCCUGGCUGGCUUAGCUGGUAGAGCAUGUGACUCUUGAUCUUAGGGUUGCGAGUUCGAGCCCCAUGUUGGGUG
This 73-nucleotide transfer RNA is filed under the name Ailuropoda melanoleuca (giant panda). It matches the Rfam family "tRNA". Rfam says of the family: Transfer RNA (tRNA) molecules are approximately 80 nucleotides in length. Their secondary structure includes four short double-helical elements and three loops (D, anti-codon, and T loops). Further hydrogen bonds mediate the characteristic L-shaped molecular structure. tRNAs have two regions of fundamental functional importance: the anti-codon, which is responsible for specific mRNA codon recognition, and the 3' end, to which the tRNAs corresponding amino acid is attached (by aminoacyl-tRNA synthetases). tRNAs cope with the degeneracy of the genetic code in two manners: having more than one tRNA (with a specific anti-codon) for a particular amino acid; and 'wobble' base-pairing, i.e. permitting non-standard base-pairing at the 3rd anti-codon position. The record is from Rfam by way of RNAcentral. Lineage: Eukaryota; Metazoa; Chordata; Mammalia; Carnivora; Ursidae. RNAcentral also lists the same sequence under 1 other name.